Molecule: ribosomal RNA, 450 nt
Filed under: uncultured bacterium
Lineage: Bacteria
Description: partial 16S ribosomal RNA
Rfam family: Bacterial small subunit ribosomal RNA
Source: RNAcentral
AUGGGGAAUUUUGGACAAUGGGCGCAAGCCUGAUCCAGCAAUGCCGCGUGUGUGAAGAAGGCCUUCGGGUUGUAAAGCACUUUUGUCCGGAAAGAAAUCUCCUGGGUUAAUACCUCGGGGGGAUGACGGUACCGGAAGAAUAAGCACCGGCUAACUACGUGCCAGCAGCCGCGGUAAUACGUAGGGUGCGAGCGUUAAUCGGAAUUACUGGGCGUAAAGCGUGCGCAGGCGGCUAUGCAAGACAGAUGUGAAAUCCCCGGGCUCAACCUGGGAACUGCAGUUGUGACUGCAUGGCUAGAGUGCGUCAGAGGGAGGUGGAAUUCCGCGUGUAGCAGUGAAAUGCGUAGAGAUGCGGAGGAACACCGAUGGCGAAGGCAGCCUCCUGGGAUGACACUGACGCUCAUGCACGAAAGCGUGGGGAGCAAACAGGAUUAGAAACCCGUGUAGUCC